GAACUUGAGAGUUUGAUCCUGGCUCAGAACGAACGCUGGCGGCAGGUCUUAGGCAUGCAAGUCGAACGGAUGACAG
Molecule: ribosomal RNA, 76 nt
Filed under: Alphaproteobacteria bacterium
Lineage: Bacteria; Pseudomonadati; Pseudomonadota; Alphaproteobacteria
Description: partial 16S ribosomal RNA
Rfam family: Bacterial small subunit ribosomal RNA
Source: RNAcentral